CCUCCACCCUUUUAUUUUCUUUCCCACCUCUAUUUCAUCAUCUCCCGCCUCUGUUUCUCUCUCUCUAGCUCGGCGGACGGCAUCAAUGGACUGGAUAUGGUUGAAGCAGUGAAGCGUGAAGCCCGCCUCUCUCUCAGCUGAAGCGUCCUUUUUCAGCCCACUUCAAUUUCUAGCUAAUUCCCAGAAUUUCAUCCUAGGAUUCAUUCACUGUGUCUUGAAACUUGCUACGAUGGGUUGUACGACCCGAUCGUCUUGGGCCAAUGGGAUGGUGAAAGUUCUUGCUCUAACAGAUCAUGACACAAUGCCAAGCAUCCCUGAGGCUCUAGAAGCUGCUAGAAGAUUUCGCAUCAAGAUAAUUCCAAAUGUUGAAAUCAGUACAAUAUUAGGGGAAGUGAGCCUCUUGCAGAAGACGCUAUACAAUUGAUAUCUAAUACUUGGGGUGUAGCUGUGCUAGCUCAUCCAGGAGCACUGAAAAAUCAUGUUGCCAUUAUCAGGAGGCUGAAAGAGGCUGGCCUUCAUGGGAUGGAGGUUUACACAAGUGAUGAAAACUAGCAGCAUACAGUGACGUAGCAGAUGGUUAUGGUCUUUUAAAGCUGGGAGGAUCAGAUUAUCAUGGAAGAGGUGGGCAUGGUGAAUCUGAAUUGGGAAGUGUGAACCUUCCUAUAUUGGCUGCUCAUGACUUCCUUAAGGUAGCUCAACCGAUCUGGUGUCGUGCCAUCUGAAACAUUUUAGAGAGUUAUGCCGACGAGCUUUCUGAUUUGAAUCUAGCGAAGAUUACAAGAUUUGGGAGGGGCCCAAUUUUUAAUAGGGGCUCUCCAGUGAGUUGCAGCAAGGACUUAAUUGAUUGUUGCAUGUCUUUGUGGUUGACCAAUGAAGAGAGUCAAAAUGCAGAGUUUGAAGCUAUCUCUAUUAAUCAGGGAGGAAUUCAGGUUCCUAUUGAAAGUGAAUUGUUGCGAAUUGAAUAUUCAUCUUCUUUAUCAAAUUCAUUUUCACCAUCUCAUUUUUGGCAUUUAUGCUGUCAUAUUUAACUAA
Corylus avellana is the source of this 1032-nucleotide non-coding RNA. The record is from RefSeq and is a predicted model, not a curated record. Lineage: Eukaryota; Viridiplantae; Streptophyta; Magnoliopsida; Fagales; Betulaceae.